AUCGCCAGGGUAUUACGAGUCUAAACUUAAAACCCAAAGGACUUGACGGUGCCCCACCCCCCACUAGAGGAGCCUGUGCUACAAUCGAUUAUGCCCGCUAAACCCAACUGCUUUUUGAUUAAUCAGCUUGUAUACUUCCGUCGUAAGCUCACCAUGUUGAAUCGAUAUUAUAGUGAGCCUAAAGGAUUUACUCCCCCAUACGUCAGGUCAAGGUGCAGCCCACAAAGCAGACAGUAAUGGGCUACAGUUUCUACGAUAGAACCCACGAAAAACCAUAUGAAAUAUGGUCACGAAGUAGGAUUUAGAAGUAAAAAGAAAAUAAAUUGUUCUUUUUAACAUAAGGUGCUGGGGCGCGUACAAACCGCCCGUCACCCUCUUCAACCAAACCUAAUUGAUUAAUAACCCAACAAUUUAACACAGAA
RNAcentral lists this ribosomal RNA (422 nucleotides) under Breviceps montanus (mountain rain frog). Its description in RNAcentral is "partial small subunit ribosomal RNA". It matches the Rfam family "Bacterial small subunit ribosomal RNA", at positions 868 to 1447 of the family's 1533-position model. Lineage: Eukaryota; Metazoa; Chordata; Amphibia; Anura; Brevicipitidae. The record is from RNAcentral.